CAGCCGCCGCGGUAACACGGAGGGUGCAAGCGUUAAUCGGAAUUACUGGGCGUAAAGCGCACGCAGGCGGUCUGUCAAGUCAGAUGUGAAAUCCCCGGGCUUAACCUGGGAACUGCAUUUGAAACUGGCAGGCUAGAGUCUUGUAGAGGGGGGUAGAAUUCCAGGUGUAGCGGUGAAAUGCGUAGAGAUCUGGAGGAAUACCGGUGGCGAAGGCGGCCCCCUGGACAAAGACUGACGCUCAGGUGCGAAAGCGUGGGGAGCAAACAGGAUUAGAGACCCCAGUAGUCCCUGUCUCUUAUAC
Molecule: ribosomal RNA, 301 nt
Filed under: uncultured bacterium
Lineage: Bacteria
Description: partial 16S ribosomal RNA
Rfam family: Bacterial small subunit ribosomal RNA
Source: RNAcentral